UAUUUGAUAACUCGUACAGUCAGGGUCAUUCAAUAAUACUGGACAUUCAUUUCUAGUCUGUGACUGGAUCUAGCCAAGAAAUAGUCAAAAUAAUUCUUCCAUAACAUUGAAGGUCCAAAGUUUUUAGCUCACCUGAACCGAAGGUUCAAGUGAGCUAUUCUGAUCACAUUUUGUCCGGCGUCCGUCUGUCUGUCCGUCUGUCUGUAAACUUUUCACAUUUUCGACUUCUUCUCCAGAACCACGGGGCCAAUUUCAACCUAACUUGGCCAAAAGCAUCCUUGGGUGAAGGGCUUUCAAGUUUGUUCAAAUGAAGGGCCAUGUUCCUUUCAAAGGGGAGAUAAUCACAAAAAUGCAAAAAUAGGGUGGGGUCAUUUAAAAAUCUUCUUCUCAAGAACCACUGGGCCAGAAGAGCCGAAAUUUACCUGAAAGCUUCCUGACAUAUUGCAGAUUCAAGUUUGUUCAAAUCAUGGCCCCCGGUGUUAGAAUGGGGCCACAAGGGGGGAUCAAAGUUUUACAUACAAAUAUAUAGGGAAAAACGUUAAAAAUCUUCUUCUCAAGAACCACUAAGCCAGAAAAGCUGAGAUUUACAUGAAAGCUUCCUGACAUAAUGCAGAUUCAAGUUUGUUCAAAUCAUGGGCCCCUGGUGUUGGAUGGGGCCACAAUAGGGGAUCAAAGUUUUACAUACAAAUAUAUAGGAAAAAUCUUUAAAAAUCUUCUUCUCAAGAACCACUAAGCCAGAAAAGCUGAUUUUUACAUGAAAACUUUCUGACAUAGUGCAGAUUCAAGUUUGUUCAAAUCAUGGCCCCCGGGGAUAAGAUGGGAUCCCAAGGGGGGGAUCAAAGUUUUACACACAAAUAUAUAGGGAAAAACGUUAAAAAUCUUCUUCUCAAGAACCACUAAGCCAGAAAAGCUGAGAUUUACAUGAAAGCUUCCUGACAUAAUGCAGAUUCAAGUUUGUUCAAAUCAUGGGCCCCUGGUGUUGGAUGGGCCCACAAUAGGGGAUCAAAGUUUUACAUACAAAUAUAUAGGAAAAAUCUUUAAAAAUCUUCUUCUCAAGAACCACUAAGCCAGAAAAGCUGAUUUUUACAUGAAAACUUUCUGACAUAGUGCAGAUUCAAGUUUGUUCAAAUCAUGGCCCCCGGGGAUAAGAUGGGGCCCCAAGGGGGGGAUCAAAGUUUUACACACAAAUAUAUAGGGAAAAACGUUAAAAAUCUUCUUCUCAAGAACCACUAAGCCAGAAAAGCUGAGAUUUACAUGAAAGCUUCCUGACAUAUUGCAGAUUCAAGUUUGUUCAAAUCAUGGCCCCCGGUGUUAGGAUGAGGCCACAAGGGGGGAUCAAAGUUUUACAUACAAAUAUAUAGGGAAAAACUUUAAAAAUCUUCUUCUCAAGAACCACUAAGCCAGAAAAGCUGAGAUUUACAUGAAAGCUUCCUGACAUAAUGCAGAUUCAAGUUUGUUCAAAUCAUGGGCCCCUGGUGUUGGAUGGGGCCACAAUAGGGGAUCAAAGUUUUACAUACAAAUAUAUAGGAAAAAUCUUUAAAAAUCUUCUUCUCAAGAACCACUAACCCAGAAAAGCUGAUUUUUACAUGAAAACUUUCUGACAUAGUGCAGAUUCAAGUUUGUUCAAAUCAUGGCCCCCGGGGAUAAGAUGGGGCCCCAAGGGGGGAUCAAAGUUUUACACACAAAUAUAUAGGGAAAAACGUUAAAAAUCUUCUUCUCAAGAACCACUAAGCCAGAAAAGCUGAAAUUUACAUGAAAGCUUCCUGACAUAAUGCAGAUUCAAGUUUGUUCAAAUCAUGGGCCCCUGGGGUUGGAUGGGGCCACAAUAGGGGAUCAAAGUUUUACACACAAAUAUAUAGGGAAAAACGUUAAAAAUCUUCUUCUCAAGAACCACUAAGCCAGAAAAGCUGAUUUUUACAUGAAAACUUUCUGACAUAGUGCAGAUUCAAGUUUGUUCAAAUCAUGGCCCCCGGGGAUAAGAUGGGGCCCCAAGGGGGGGAUCAAAGUUUUACACACAAAUAUAUAGGGAAAAACUUUAAAAAUCUUCUUCUCAAGAACCACUAAGCCAGAAAAGCUGAGAUUUACAUGAAAGCUUCCUGACAUAAUGCAGAUUCAAGUUUGUUCAAAUCAUGGGCUCCGGGGGUUGGAUGGGGCCACAAUAGGGGAUCAAAGUUUUACAUACAAAUAUAUAGGAAAAAUCUUUUUCUCAAGAACCACUGAGCCAGAAAAGCUGAUUUUUACAUGAAAACUUUCUGACAUAGUGCAGAUUCAAGUUUCUUCAAAUCAUGGGCUCCGGGGGUAGGAUGGGGCCACAAGGGGGAUCAAAGUUUUACAUACAAAUAUAUAGUUAAAAUCUUUUUCUCAAUAACCACUGAGUCAGAAAAGCUGAUAUUUACAAGAAAACUUUCUGACAUAGUGCAGAUUCAAGUUUGUUCAAAUCAUGGUCCCCGGGGGGUAGGAUGGGGCCACAAGUGGGGGGGGGGGUCAAAGUUUUACAUACAAAUGUAGAAAAAAGCUUUAAAAGAACCAUUGGGCCAAAGAAGUUGACAUUUACAUGAAAGCUUUCUGACAUAGUGUAGAUUCAAGUUUGCAAAGGGUAGUUUGGGCCAUAAUAGGGACCAAGGUUUUACAUGCAAAUAUAUAUGGAAAGUCUUCAGAUAUGGGCCAAGGUGACUCAGGUGAGCGAUGUGGCCCAUGGGCCUCUUGUUGUUAAGGUCACUUAAUUGCUAUCUGUUUUUGUCUGUCGCUGUGCAUAUGUGCAGGUGUGUGUCAUUUGUAAACUUCUCACAUUUUCAAUUCAUUCUCAAGAACCGCUGAUUAAAAGCUGAUUUCAAUUACACUUGCCACAAAGUAUCCUUAGGUGAGGGGAAUUCUUUUUUUUUCAAAUGAAGGGUAGUGCCCCCUUCCAAGGAGAGAUAAUCAAGAAAAGGUGAUGUCAUUAAAAAAAUCCCUUCUCAAGAAGAGUUGAAUCUUAUCUGAAAGCCUCCUGACAUAGUGUAAAUUCUUUUCUUUUUUAAAUCAUGGCCCCUGGGGGUAGGGUGGGGCCACAGAAGUGGAUCAAAGUUUGACAUAGGAAUAUAUAGGAAGAAAUCUUAUAAGAUCUUCUCAAGAAGGCCAUGGCUGGCCAUAUUAAAAUUGGGAGCAUCCUUAAAUUGUUCCGAUUCCAGUUUGUUCAAAUCAAAACCCCCAGAAGUACGAUGGUUGAAAUAUUACAUACGUAAGUUUUUAAAAAAAAAAAAUUGGCUAUAUAUCACAAUUAUUAGCUAUAUCGAAUCUGUUAUAACAAUGCAAGCAUGACUCCUAUUAUAUCAUCUGUAUAGUUCAUUUAUUUGAGCAUUAUAACCUGUGUGAUUGAUUUUCUAUUUUGAGGUAUGAAGUUGAUGAGUUCAAAUUAAAAUACAGCAUCUGUGGACUGUGGAGCUAAGAGAUUUUAAUAUUUUCCUGCACAUUUUCAGACUCUAGUUCAGUAUUGUUACAUGCAAAUUAUCAGGACAGAAUUGGAGGAAGUGAAAUUUGCUUGGAAUAACCAUCGGAUCAGGAAGCAAAAAAUGGGAGAUGUUGUUCCUGGGAUUCCAGAAUUCCUUUAUCAUGUUCCAGAAAUGUUAGGUAUUCCAAUUGUGAAUGACGAAAAGUUUAAGUUCCUAAAGGACCAGUGCUGUUUUAAAAAUGACUUGGAUAAGGACAUUCAAGAAUCUCUUGAUGUUAUAUGCGACCAUCACCGGCCUUCAUCAGUAUCUGAAGGCAAAGCAAUGUACAUUUCACUGAAAGAUAUAUUGGAACAGUAUAUUUAUCAGUAAUUUAUGAUGUUUUGGACUUUAUGGCAAUUCUGACAAGUUCAAGAUCACCGACAGAAUUUUUCAAAAAUAAAAUCCAGUUAAUGAAUCUAGAAUGGAUAAAUAUUGGAAUUUGAUACUUCAAGCAAAGAUUAAUAUGAGCUAAAGAUAUUUUUUCGUUUUAACUUUGUCUGAAGGUAAUUCGGACAAGUUAAGGUCUUAAGGCAAAAAGUGUUAAUUUCAUGUCAGUCCCAUAACUUUGUAUAGGGGAUACUCUGCAAGUUUAUAUUGCAUAUAAGAUUACUUAUGACCAGAGAGUGUCUCAUUAUUUAUUUUUUUGUAACCAGGGUGAUUUUGGCAAGUUUGUGGUCACUUGUAGAAGUUUGUGAGCUCACAGUGCCUUUAGUUUUUUGUAUUCUUAUUAUUGUUAUAUGACCUCCUGGUCUUUUAUGUUUCCACUGUUGGAUGGUUAUUCUAUGCAAAUUUCACUUCUUCCCAUACUUUUUGCCAUACUCUAUUUAUGUGUCUUAAGUUUUGUAGACAAUUUUUGUAUUUCUUUUUUGUCAGCUUUUCAAUAAUUUGACCUUUCAUUAUGACCAUCUAUGAAAGAAAUUAUGUAUAUUAUGGAACAGUCUGUGCGAAAAGGUAAACCCGACGAUUGCCUCCAAGUGAUCACUGUAAUUGAAACUUUGUGUAAAAACAAAUUUUCGUAUUCUUAAGAGUGAUUUUCUUCAGAGAAAGUUUAUUUGGAGAUUUUAGAUUCUUUAUGGUGAUCCCCCCCUUCCCCCGAGAAUUCUAUUGUUGAUAUACUUUAAAUUAUUAGUAGGAAACCGAUGAGUGAUAGCCUACCUCAUAUGACGUAUUAUGGUAUGGCGUCGUCCGUCUGUCUGUCCGGACCUUGUGGGCAGGAUACAGACUGAACCAUAAGCCCUAGGACUUUACAACUUGGUACAUUUGAUCACCAUGAUGAGAGGAAGAUGCCUAUUGUUUUUCAAGGUCAAAGGUCAAGGUUGUAGUAUCACUUAUUAGGAAAACCUUGUGGGCAGGAUACAAACAGAACCGUAAGCUCCAGGAUAUUAUAACUUGGUAUAUUUGAUCACCAUGAUGAGAGGAAGAUGCCUAUUUUUUUCAAGGUCAAGGUAAUAGGUUUACUUAGUAGGAAAACCUUGUAGGUAUACAGACCGAACCGUUGGGGCUAGGAGUGUCAAAUUUAAUAUGCAUAUACCUUAUUCCAAGUGGAGGAAGCCUAUUGUUUCUCAAGGUCAAAGGUCAAGGUGGUUGUAGCAGGAUACAAAUAAAACUGUUGUGGCUAGGAAUGCCAAUACUUUUCUUUUUCAAGUUUAAAAGGUCAAGACUGUUAGAUGGCAUGCUUCACUUGAUAAUUUGGUGCCAAGUAUAGCUUGUAAACUUCCAAGUUAUACUUUAUUUCUAUAUAAUUUGAGAUUCUCCUGCAAAAAAAAAUGGUGAUCUGCCUCUACAAAAAUAGUUAUGUUCAAUAUUUUUGACCAUUUCAAACUGAAACUAAUUACUGAAAUAAACACAUGAAAUCAAAUUGUAUUGCAUUUCAGUAUACUGUACCUGUACUUAUACUUUAGCACUAACUGUUUCAAGCAAAGGUGUGUGGUAUAUUAGCAUAUUUAUGAAGUAGCGCAUUCUAAGGCUAUCCCUCUUUAUAUCUUGAUAUCCAUUUCUACAAGCAUAAUAAUGAAUUAGCUCAAAGAGGACAGUGCUAACUUCACUAAAAUAUGAAUCCCACUAAAAUAUGUUUUCCUUGAGCAAAAUCUACGGGCGUAUUAUGCCACGUUGGCGUUGCUCUUGUUAUACCAUCUUGACCUGUCACUUAGUCAUCUUGAGUUGUUCCCCUUUGAUUGUGCUAUGAUUUUUAUGUCGAUCUAGUAUAUCUGGUUGUUGUGACAAUAAUAAAUUCUUGUCUUGUUAUAUGCAAGUCCUCAGUCAAGUUGUAUAACAUUUUGCUUGUUUAUUUAUUGAUUCAAAUGAAUAAAUGUAUUAAUUUUA
Long non-coding RNA from Ostrea edulis (European flat oyster), 5789 nucleotides. RefSeq lists it as uncharacterized. NCBI's taxonomy places the organism in Eukaryota, Metazoa, Mollusca, Bivalvia, Ostreida, Ostreidae. The transcript is spliced from 2 exons. The record is from RefSeq and is a predicted model, not a curated record.